UUCUUGGUCAUUUAGAGGAAGUAAAAGUCGUAACAAGGUUUCCGUAGGUGAACCUGCGGAAGGAUCAUUAAAGAAAUUUAAUAAUUUUGAAAAUGGAUUUUUUUGUUUUGGCAAGAGCAUGAGAGCUUUUACUGGGCAAGAAGACAAGAGAUGGAGAGUCCAGCCGGGCCUGCGCUUAAGUGCGCGGUCGUGCUAGGCUUGUAAGUUUCUUUCUUGCUAUUCCAAACGGUGAGAGAUUUCUGUGCUUUUGUUAUAGGACAAUUAAAACCGUUUCAGUACAACACACUGUGGAGUUUUCAUAUCUUUGCAACUUUUUCUUUGGGCAUUCGAGCAAUCGGGGCCCAGAGGUAACAAACACAAACAAUUCUAUCUAUUCAUUAAAUUUUUGUCAAAAACAAGAAUUUUCGUAACUGGAAUCUUAAAAUAUUAAAAACUUUCAACAACGGGUCUCUUGGUUCUCGCAUCGAUGAAGAACGCAGCGAAAUGCGAUACGUAAUGUGAAUUGCAGAAUUCCGUGAAUCAUCGAAUCUUUGAACGCACAUUGCGCCCCUUGGUAUUCCAGGGGGCAUGCCUGUUUGAGCGUCAUUUCCUUCUCAAACAUUCUGUUUGGUAGUGAGUGAUACUCUUUGGAGUUAACUUGAAAUUGCUGGCCUUUUCAUUGGACGUUUUUUUUCCAAAGAGAGGUUUCUCUGCGUGCUUGAGGUAUAAUGCAAGUACGGUCGUUUUAGGUUUUACCAACUGCGGCUAAUCUUUUUUUAUACUGAGCGUAUUGGAACGUUAUCGAUAAGAAGAGAGCGUCUAGGCGUACAAUGUUCUUAAAGUUUGACCUCAAAUCAGGUAGGAGUACCCGCUGAACUUAAGCAUAUCAAUAAGCGGAGGAA
RNAcentral lists this ribosomal RNA (881 nucleotides) under uncultured fungus. RNAcentral's name for it is "eukaryotic LSU rRNA". The stretch from base 432 to 585 matches the Rfam family "5.8S ribosomal RNA". The record is from RNAcentral. Lineage: Eukaryota; Fungi.